Molecule: long non-coding RNA, 1777 nt
Organism: Cydia fagiglandana
Lineage: Eukaryota; Metazoa; Arthropoda; Insecta; Lepidoptera; Tortricidae
Exons: 4
Source: RefSeq, a predicted model, not a curated record
UGCGGAACACCUAUUUUAGGAGGUAUCGUUAAGCCUAUGAAGUAAAAUUAAAAUUGCAAGAAAUGUCGAUAGUUUAUCGAUAUGACUUUAUCGACAUGGCUACAGCAAGGUAGGCCUCAUUGUUAAUCGUACACUAAACAAAAGUGGCAACAGUGACAGCUCGCUGAGACACCGUCUCUAUAUAUUAUGUCUAUGGUAAGUACCAAUAAACAAACAACAAGUAGUGAAAAUACAAACUAAGUUAAAGAAAAAUACUGAUUUGCUGUGAAAAUUGAAGGAAAUUCCACCCAAAAUGUAAGUUUCUCAAAUUUAUUCAUAGAUAAAUUUAUAAUUCGUUUGAUCAUUAACUAGUUUUGUCAUCAUGAAUAUGUUUAAUUUCAGUUGAUGCUUCGUCGCAAAAGAAAAUGCUAGCGAAAUAUAUCACUCAGCAUCCCCUGUCCGUCUACAGGGAGAUCCAUGAGCCUCUCGGAAUCCAGAGAUACAAAAUGCAAUGCUGCACAGUGCACACAAGUUCUAAGAGAGCAUGCAUAAUCAUGCUCGUAGGUACAGAUCAGUGCAGGGAUGGAAGUUAACUUAUCGUGACUCGAGCUGCAAAGUAAGAAAAUCAAUGUGGCACCAAACCAGGCUCGGCCAGUGAAGGAAAAUGGAUCCAGAAGAAUUAAGGAUUUAAGAUUCAUAACAUAUUGGAGGCUUGAAAGUGCACAUACCCAUACAUUGGACGUUAAGCUCAACGAGACCAUGCGUCGCAUCUCAGGCACUAUCCGAUCUGCAGCCGCCACGUGCUGCUGUCAUUGAGUCACAUUGCCCCUUCUCACAUCCGACGACUCCAGGCGUUGAAGAGGGAGGCUGAGAAGAUCACGAAUAACCCCCGCAAUGCCUGUCCACGAAGAAUUCUGCCGCCCAACCCCUCGGCAUCUGAAAUCCCGGAAUCCUGGGAGCCUGAGCAGCUUUAAUAUUUCGGAUAGGUAGAAAGCGGAAUGGUCUGCUAUAUCUGACCUGACUGAAAAACCAAAAGGUUUCACCUUCCUCGGAAAAUCUGGUGCCGCCUGAACGGGCUGAGAACCGGACAUGGCCGCUGCAAUUCAGCCACACACAAAUGGAGAUAGACGGCUUUCCCACUUUGCGAAUGCGGAGAGGAAAAGCAGACCACUUAGCAUAUGUUCCAACGCUGCCCACUCCACUCAUACCCUGCUGAGGACCUGAAGACCGUGACACCUGGCUUUGGUUGCUUGACUUGGCAACCUCAAGGCUACACUCUGAAUCUCCUCUCUUUAUAUAAUUGCUAUAUGGGUAAAUAAAUAAAUAAAUAAUAUAUAGCUAUCGAACGAGAAGGCUUAUGGCUUCAGCCAAGAAAAGUUCUCACAUUCCGGCUGAGACACACCUCUCAGCAACUGGCAUGUCCAUGCAUUUCGAAUACCAAGUCAAUAGUCAAAGUUUUUAUUUGUUAAACUAUUACAGUGGUGUAUAAAAGGUUUUUUACAAACUUUAAAGUUGCAAUGUAUGUAUCAAGUCCUGCAAGAUAAAUUAGACCCCACUUCCGUUUAUUCGAAGGAUUACUGACUUGAAUUAGAAUCGUUUGUCUUUAUCUGGCAUUUUGACUUACAUGUAUUUCUAAGAACGGGAUAAAACAUAAUUUAACUAAAUCGGGCCUGUAAAGUUUUAUGAAUAACUCGGGGUUUUAUGAAUAACGGGGUGUCUUUUUAUAGUUUAUUCCGCAAUCAUUAGUUUUUCUUAUUUAUAAACUAAAACUACCUAAAAAGUGAAAAACCUACAAAUA